This 2950-nucleotide ribosomal RNA is filed under the name Klebsiella pneumoniae. Its description in RNAcentral is "23S ribosomal RNA". It matches the Rfam family "Bacterial large subunit ribosomal RNA". The record is from RNAcentral. Lineage: Bacteria; Pseudomonadati; Pseudomonadota; Gammaproteobacteria; Enterobacterales; Enterobacteriaceae.
UUAAGCGACUAAGCGUACACGGUGGAUGCCCUGGCAGUCAGAGGCGAUGAAGGACGUGCUAAUCUGCGAAAAGCGUCGGUAAGGUGAUAUGAACCGUUACAGCCGGCGAUGUCCGAAUGGGGAAACCCAGUGCAAUUCGUUGCACUAUCGUUAACUGAAUACAUAGGUUAACGAGGCGAACCGGGGGAACUGAAACAUCUAAGUACCCCGAGGAAAAGAAAUCAACCGAGAUUCCCCCAGUAGCGGCGAGCGAACGGGGAGCAGCCCAGAGUCUGAAUCAGCUUGUGUGUUAGUGGAACGGUCUGGAAAGUCCGACGGUACAGGGUGAUAGUCCCGUACACCAAAAUGCACAGGCUGUGAACUCGAAGAGUAGGGCGGGACACGUGGUAUCCUGUCUGAAUAUGGGGGGACCAUCCUCCAAGGCUAAAUACUCCUGACUGACCGAUAGUGAACCAGUACCGUGAGGGAAAGGCGAAAAGAACCCCGGCGAGGGGAGUGAAAAAGAACCUGAAACCGUGUACGUACAAGCAGUGGGAGCACCUUCGGGUGUGACUGCGUACCUUUUGUAUAAUGGGUCAGCGACUUAUAUUCUGUAGCAAGGUUAACCGUAUAGGGGAGCCGCAGGGAAACCGAGUCUUAACUGGGCGUUAAGUUGCAGGGUAUAGACCCGAAACCCGGUGAUCUAGCCAUGGGCAGGUUGAAGGUUGGGUAACACUAACUGGAGGACCGAACCGACUAAUGUUGAAAAAUUAGCGGAUGACUUGUGGCUGGGGGUGAAAGGCCAAUCAAACCGGGAGAUAGCUGGUUCUCCCCGAAAGCUAUUUAGGUAGCGCCUCGUGAACUCAUCUUCGGGGGUAGAGCACUGUUUCGGCUAGGGGGUCAUCCCGACUUACCAACCCGAUGCAAACUACGAAUACCGAAGAAUGUUAUCACGGGAGACACACGGCGGGUGCUAACGUCCGUCGUGAAGAGGGAAACAACCCAGACCGCCAGCUAAGGUCCCAAAGUCAUGGUUAAGUGGGAAACGAUGUGGGAAGGCACAGACAGCCAGGAUGUUGGCUUAGAAGCAGCCAUCAUUUAAAGAAAGCGUAAUAGCUCACUGGUCGAGUCGGCCUGCGCGGAAGAUGUAACGGGGCUAAACCAUGCACCGAAGCUGCGGCAGCGACACUAUGUGUUGUUGGGUAGGGGAGCGUUCUGUAAGCCUGCGAAGGUNUGCUGUGAGGCAUGCUGGAGGUAUCAGAAGUGCGAAUGCUGACAUAAGUAACGAUAAAGCGGGUGAAAAGCCCGCUCGCCGGAAGACCAAGGGUUCCUGUCCAACGUUAAUCGGGGCAGGGUGAGUCGACCCCUAAGGCGAGGCCGAAAGGCGUAGUCGAUGGGAAACAGGUUAAUAUUCCUGUACUUGGUGUUACUGCGAAGGGGGGACGGAGAAGGCUAUGUUAGCCGGGCGACGGUUGUCCCGGUUUAAGCAUGUAGGCUGAUUGUCCAGGCAAAUCCGGAUAAUCAAGGCUGAGGUGUGAUGACGAGGCACUACGGUGCUGAAGUAACAAAUGCCCUGCUUCCAGGAAAAGCCUCUAAGCAUCAGGUAACAUUAAAUCGUACCCCAAACCGACACAGGUGGUCAGGUAGAGAAUACCAAGGCGCUUGAGAGAACUCGGGUGAAGGAACUAGGCAAAAUGGUGCCGUAACUUCGGGAGAAGGCACGCUGGUGUGUAGGUGAAGUCCCUGCGGAUGGAGCUGAGACCAGUCGAAGAUACCAGCUGGCUGCAACUGUUUAUUAAAAACACAGCACUGUGCAAACACGAAAGUGGACGUAUACGGUGUGACGCCUGCCCGGUGCCGGAAGGUUAAUUGAUGGGGUUAUCCGUAAGGAGAAGCUCUUGAUCGAAGCCCCGGUAAACGGCGGCCGUAACUAUAACGGUCCUAAGGUAGCGAAAUUCCUUGUCGGGUAAGUUCCGACCUGCACGAAUGGCGUAAUGAUGGCCAGGCUGUCUCCACCCGAGACUCAGUGAAAUUGAACUCGCUGUGAAGAUGCAGUGUACCCGCGGCAAGACGGAAAGACCCCGUGAACCUUUACUAUAGCUUGACACUGAACAUUGAGCCUUGAUGUGUAGGAUAGGUGGGAGGCUUUGAAGCGUGGACGCCAGUCUGCGUGGAGCCAACCUUGAAAUACCACCCUUUAAUGUUUGAUGUUCUAACGUUGGCCCCUGACCGGGGUUGCGGACAGUGUCUGGUGGGUAGUUUGACUGGGGCGGUCUCCUCCCAAAGCGUAACGGAGGAGCACGAAGGUUAGCUAAUCCUGGUCGGACAUCAGGAGGUUAGUGCAAUGGCAUAAGCUAGCUUGACUGCGAGCGUGACGGCGCGAGCAGGUGCGAAAGCAGGUCAUAGUGAUCCGGUGGUUCUGAAUGGAAGGGCCAUCGCUCAACGGAUAAAAGGUACUCCGGGGAUAACAGGCUGAUACCGCCCAAGAGUUCAUAUCGACGGCGGUGUUUGGCACCUCGAUGUCGGCUCAUCACAUCCUGGGGCUGAAGUAGGUCCCAAGGGUAUGGCUGUUCGCCAUUUAAAGUGGUACGCGAGCUGGGUUUAGAACGUCGUGAGACAGUUCGGUCCCUAUCUGCCGUGGGCGCUGGAGAAUUGAGGGGGGCUGCUCCUAGUACGAGAGGACCGGAGUGGACGCAUCACUGGUGUUCGGGUUGUCAUGCCAAUGGCACUGCCCGGUAGCUAAAUGCGGAAGAGAUAAGUGCUGAAAGCAUCUAAGCACGAAACUUGCCCCGAGAUGAGUUCUCCCUGAGACUUUAAGUCUCCUGAAGGAACGUUNNNNNNNNNNNNNNNNNNNNNNNNNNNNNNNNNNNNNNNNNNNNNNNNNNNNNNNNNNNGACGUUGAUAGGCCGGGUGUGUAAGCGCAGCGAUGCGUUGAGCUAACCGGUACUAAUGAACCGUGAGGCUUAACCUU